RNAcentral lists this ribosomal RNA (213 nucleotides) under uncultured bacterium. Its description in RNAcentral is "partial 16S ribosomal RNA". It matches the Rfam family "Bacterial small subunit ribosomal RNA", at positions 1290 to 1500 of the family's 1533-position model. The record is from RNAcentral.
AGUUCGGAUUGUAGGCUGAAACUCGCCUACAUGAAGCUGGAGUUACUAGUAAUCGCAGAUCAGAAUGCUGCGGUGAAUGCGUUCCCGGGUCUUGUACACACCGCCCGUCACACCACGGAAGUUGGGGGCGCCCGAAGCCACUUAGCUAACCCUUUUGGGAAGCGAGUGUCGAAGGUGAAAUCAAUAACUGGGGUGAAGUCGUAACAAGGUACC